RNAcentral lists this ribosomal RNA (345 nucleotides) under Triticum aestivum (bread wheat). Its description in RNAcentral is "partial small subunit ribosomal RNA". The record is from RNAcentral. Lineage: Eukaryota; Viridiplantae; Streptophyta; Magnoliopsida; Poales; Poaceae.
AUGGCCCAUGUGGCCCAUGUGGCCCAUGUGGCCCAUGUAACCCUGCAGCCUAUAUAUGUGCUGCCCCCUUGUACAGGAAACCCUAACUCCAAUAGAAUACAAUACCAGGCCAUCUUUCUAUCCCAGCCGCCACCCCUCUCUCCCCUGAUUCUACAUGGUAUCAGAGCUUGGGUUCCCAAUCCCAGCAGUGGUGAUGGUGGUUGGCUGGUUGUGCUUGCUGGCGAUUGUCUGAGAGGAGAAGGCUUGUGUGGAAGAAGGAGAGGUGGAAUCCCAGAUCUGAGGGGAGGAGGUAGUAGAGAGGUGAAAGUGGGGAGCAGUGGUUGCUGGAGGUUGCUAGUGGUGUGA